Molecule: ribosomal RNA, 494 nt
Filed under: uncultured bacterium
Lineage: Bacteria
Description: partial 16S ribosomal RNA
Rfam family: Bacterial small subunit ribosomal RNA
Source: RNAcentral
GAUGAACGCUGGCGGCGUGCCUAAUACAUGCAAGUAGAACGCUGAAGUAGGAGCUUGCUCUUCUGGAUGAGUUGCGAACGGGUGAGUAACGCGUAGGUAACCUGCCUGGUAGCGGGGGAUAACGAUUGGAAACGAUAGCUAAUACCGCAUGACAACAGUUAUUGCAUGAUAACUGUUUAAAAGGGGCAACUGCUCCACUACCAGAGGGCCCUGCGUUGUAUUAGCUAGUUGGUGAGUUAACGGCUCACCAAGGCGACGAUACAUAGCGGACCUGAGAGGGUGAUCGGACACACUGGGACUGAGAAACGGCACAGACUCCUACGGGAGGCAGCAGUCGGGAAUCCUCGGCAAUGGAGGGAAGGCGGACCGAGCAACGCCGCGUGAGUGAAGAAGGUUUUCGGAUCGUAAAGCUCUGUUGUAAGAGAAGAACGAGUGUGAGAGUGGAAAGUUCACACUGUGACGGUAUCUUCCAGAAAGGGACGGCUAACUACGUG